RNAcentral lists this ribosomal RNA (466 nucleotides) under uncultured bacterium. RNAcentral's name for it is "bacterial SSU rRNA". It matches the Rfam family "Bacterial small subunit ribosomal RNA", at positions 329 to 793 of the family's 1533-position model. The record is from RNAcentral.
GACCAGACUCCUACGGGAGGCAGCAGUGAGGAAUAUUGGUCAAUGGCCGAGAGGCUGAACCAGCCAAGUCGCGUGAGGGAAGAAUGUCCUAUGGAUUGUAAACCUCUUUUGUCAGGGAGCAAAGUCACCCACGUGUGGGUGUUGGAGAGUACCUGAAGAAAAAGCAUCGGCUAACUCCGUGCCAGCAGCCGCGGUAAUACGGAGGAUGCGAGCGUUAUCCGGAUUUAUUGGGUUUAAAGGGUGCGUAGGCGGAAUGCCAAGUCAGCGGUAAAAUCGCGGGGCUCAACCCCGCCCAGCCGUCGGAACUGCCGGGCUAGAGUGGGCGAGAAGUGCGCGGAAUGCGUGGUGUAGCGGUGAAAUGCAUAGAUAUCACGCAGAACUCCGAUUGCGAAGGCAGCGUACCGGCGCCCAACUGACGCUGAAGCACGAAGGCGUGGGUAUCGAACAGGAUUAGAUACCCUGGUAA